This 465-nucleotide ribosomal RNA is filed under the name Vreelandella stevensii. RNAcentral describes it as "partial 16S ribosomal RNA". It matches the Rfam family "Bacterial small subunit ribosomal RNA", at positions 338 to 795 of the family's 1533-position model. Lineage: Bacteria; Pseudomonadati; Pseudomonadota; Gammaproteobacteria; Oceanospirillales; Halomonadaceae. The record is from RNAcentral.
CCUACGGGGGGCUGCAGUGGGGAAUAUUGGACAAUGGGGGCAACCCUGAUCCAGCCAUGCCGCGUGUGUGAAGAAGGCCCUCGGGUUGGAAAGCACUUUCAGUGAGGAAGAACGCCUGGUGGUUAAUACCCAUCAGUAAAGACAUCACUCACAGAAGAAGCACCGGCUAACUCCGUGCCAGCAGCCGCGGUAAUACGGAGGGUGCGAGCGUUAAUCGGAAUUACUGGGCGUAAAGCGCGCGUAGGUGGCUUGAUAAGCCGGUUGUGAAAGCCCCGGGCUCAACCUGGGAACGGCAUCCGGAACUGUCAAGCUAGAGUGCAGGAGAGGAAGGUAGAAUUCCCGGUGUAGCGGUGAAAUGCGUAGAGAUCGGGAGGAAUACCAGUGGCGAAGGCGGCCUUCUGGACUGACACUGACACUGAGGUGCGAAAGCGUGGGUAGCAAACAGGAUUAGAUACCCUAGUAGUC